AUUGAACGCUGGCGGCAGGCCUAACACAUGCAAGUCGAGCGGAUGAAGGGAGCUUGCUCCUGGAUUCAGCGGCGGACGGGUGAGUAAUGCCUAGGAAUCUGCCUGGUAGUGGGGGAUAACGUCCGUAAACGGGCGCUAAUACCGCAUACGUCCUGAGGGAGAAAGUGGGGGAUCUUCGGACCUCACGCUAUCAGAUGAGCCUAGGUCGGAUUAGCUAGUUGGUGGGGUAAAGGCCUACCAAGGCGACGAUCCGUAACUGGUCUGAGAGGAUGAUCAGUCACACUGGAACUGAGACACGGUCCAGACUCCUACGGGAGGCAGCAGUGGGGAAUAUUGGACAAUGGGCGAAAGCCUGAUCCAGCCAUGCCGCGUGUGUGAAGAAGGUCUUCGGAUUGUAAAGCACUUUAAGUUGGGAGGAAGGGAAGUAAGUUAAUACCUUGCUGUUUUGACGUUACCAACAGAAUAAGCACCGGCUAACUUCGUG
RNAcentral lists this ribosomal RNA (484 nucleotides) under uncultured bacterium. RNAcentral describes it as "partial 16S ribosomal RNA". It matches the Rfam family "Bacterial small subunit ribosomal RNA", at positions 30 to 507 of the family's 1533-position model. The record is from RNAcentral.